This 1317-nucleotide long non-coding RNA is filed under the name Chinchilla lanigera (long-tailed chinchilla). RNAcentral's name for it is "lncRNA (ENSCLAG00000027696.1)". The record is from RNAcentral. Lineage: Eukaryota; Metazoa; Chordata; Mammalia; Rodentia; Chinchillidae.
CUGGCCACAGGGGCACUGCAGCUGGAAGGCCCUUCGGAGUUAUCCCAAGCUAGGGGAAGGCAGCUGGGCCUUCCUAGGGCUGCCCUUGAGCUGGGUGAAGACGGGCUUUGGCGUGAGGUUCCCACGUGUGCCCGCAGGAGCCCAUCUCUGAGGGAACCUUCUCCCAGAUUGCAGGCAGGAGAGGCAGCUGGGGCUGGGAGGGGCCUCGGAGGGGAGCCCGGUUGGCUGUUCCCAGAAGACCAGUCAGGGUGCAGAGACAGUGCCACAGGGCACGCUGAGCUCUGCAGGGGCCUAGGAAGCCCCUCCCGCUGGAAAGUACUGUGGAGACUGACCUUAAUCCCUCCCAGCAGAGAAGCCACAGCGCAGGCGCCUCUGGCCCCCAAAAGGAGCUUUCUUGACAGAUGUGUCAGACUGACCAAAAGACAAGGCACUUUGAGGAGAUUAUGCUGUCUGCGUGCUGCCUGGCCUUGCAUCCCAGGAGAGGCUCGCUCGGGGCUUCUGGGAAGAGAGGGCUUCAGCAGAAGCCUCGCUGUCCACCUCCCGGCCAGCCCCAGAGGAGGCAAGAAAGGAACCUCGAGCCACCUCAGGGGAAGGACCCAGAGGCAGAACAGGCCAAGGGACAGGAAGCAGACGACGGCUUCGGAGUCUGAGCUGCUGACCCUGGGCCUUCUUGCCCACUCCUCGGGGGCUGUGUGAGCGGCCACAGCCCCCAGCCCAGAGACCCUGCCUGGAGAGGAGCUGUUUUUGUUUUUGUGUUCAGCUCUGCCGCGUGGCCCUCCCCACACGCACAUUUCCCUUCGUGACCUUGUGACUCCUCCAUUAGGCCUCCUUUCUUCUUGCUUCAAGAAAGAGCCAGGCGGGAGGGCCGGGGCCGGGCGGGUGGCAGGCGGGCGAGAGGCUGAGCCAAUUGCAGCGUCUGCGAGGUGCAAAGCAAUCAGCAGAGCCGCUGGUGAGCGGGUCACUCAGUAGUGUGCACAUCAGGGUGAAAUCUUUUCCGCUCCUCGCCAAACCCCUAGUGAAAGACAAUCAGGCUCGCUGUCACCGAGCUAAUUCUGUCUAUAUAAAAGCAGUAAUGAAAUUCACGGCAGGAUUACCCUCUCCAUCCAAUGGGCCAGCGUCGUGGUGACAUAUCUCUCUUAUUGCCCGAAUGUAACACACCAUCUAAUUUACGUCGUGUAGCGAGCAGGAAUGAAAUGUUCAUAAAGAAUUGCUGCAUCUCGUCACCUUAACUGCGGCCCGGGGCUCUGAGGCAUCUGUCAGGGAGAAGAGCAGGAGGAGGGGCGGCGGGGCUCAGGGAGCAGCCGCCGGGGGCAGGGG